GAUGAACGCUGGCGGCGUGCCUAAUACAUGCAAGUCGAGCGAACGGACGAGAAGCUUGCUCCUCUGACGUUAGCGGCGGACGGGUGAGUAACACGUGGAUAACCUACCUAUAAGACUGGGAUAACUUCGGGAAACCGGAGCUAAUACCGGAUAAUAUAUUGAACCGCAUGGUUCAAUAGUGAAAGACGGUUUUGCUGUCACUUAUAGAUGGAUCCGCGCUGCAUUAGCUAGUUGGUAAGGUAACGGCUUACCAAGGCAACGAUGCAUAGCCGACCUGAGAGGGUGAUCGGCCACACUGGAACUGAGACACGGUCCAGACUCCUACGGGAGGCAGCAGUAGGGAAUCUUCCGCAAUGGGCGAAAGCCUGACGGAGCAACGCCGCGUGAGUGAUGAAGGUCUUCGGAUCGUAAAACUCUGUUAUUAGGGAAGAACAAAUGUGUAAGUAACUGUGCACGUCUUGACGGUACCUAAUCAGAAAGCCACGGCUAACUACGUG
Molecule: ribosomal RNA, 497 nt
Filed under: uncultured bacterium
Lineage: Bacteria
Description: partial 16S ribosomal RNA
Rfam family: Bacterial small subunit ribosomal RNA
Source: RNAcentral